UACGUAGGGGGCUAGCGUUAUCCGGAAUUACUGGGCGUAAAGGGUGCGUAGGCGGUCUUUCAAGCCAGAAGUGAAAGGCUACGGCUCAACCGUAGUAAGCUUUUGGAACUGUAAGACUUGAGUGCAGGAGAGGAGAGUGGAAUUCCUAGUGUAGCGGUGAAAUGCGUAGAUAUUAGGAGGAACACCAGUUGCGAAGGCGGCUCUCUGGACUGUAACUGACGCUGAGUCACGAAAGCGUGGGUAGCAAACAGGAUUAGAUACCCCCGUAGUCCCUGA
Molecule: ribosomal RNA, 276 nt
Filed under: uncultured prokaryote
Description: partial 16S ribosomal RNA
Rfam family: Bacterial small subunit ribosomal RNA
Source: RNAcentral